RNAcentral lists this ribosomal RNA (253 nucleotides) under uncultured bacterium. RNAcentral's name for it is "partial 16S ribosomal RNA". It matches the Rfam family "Bacterial small subunit ribosomal RNA", at positions 524 to 776 of the family's 1533-position model. The record is from RNAcentral.
UACAGAGGUGGCAAGCGUUGUUCGGAAUUACUGGGCGUAAAGGGCGCGUAGGCGGCCUUCUAAGUCAGACGUGAAAUCCCUCGGCUUAACCGGGGAACUGCGUCUGAUACUGGAUGGCUUGAGUUUGGGAGAGGGAUGCGGAAUUCCAGGUGUAGCGGUGAAAUGCGUAGAUAUCAGGAGGAACACCGGUGGCGAAGGCGGGUCUCUGGGCCGAUACUGACGCUGAGGAGCGAAAGCGUGGGGAGCGAACAGG